RNAcentral lists this ribosomal RNA (462 nucleotides) under uncultured bacterium. RNAcentral's name for it is "partial 16S ribosomal RNA". It matches the Rfam family "Bacterial small subunit ribosomal RNA", at positions 28 to 507 of the family's 1533-position model. The record is from RNAcentral.
GAUGAACGCUGACAGAAUGCUUAACACAUGCAAGUCUUUGGCGAAGCUGUGCUUGCACAGCCUAGCCAAGGCGGACGGGUGAGUAACGCGUAAGGAACUUGCCCUGCAGUCAGGGAUAACAGACGGAAACGACUGAUAAGACCUGGUAAAGUCAGGCGGACUCAUGUCCAGCCUGAUGAAAAGAGAUGCUGCAGGAGAGCCUUGCGUCCUAUUAGCUUGUUGGUGGGGUAACGGCCCACCAAGGCGAUGAUAGGUAGCCGGCCUGAGAGGGUGGACGGCCACAAGGGGACUGAGAUACGACCCUUACUCCUACGGGAGGCAGCAGUGGGGAAUAUUGGACAAUGGGGGCAACCCUGAUCCAGCAAUUCUGUGUGCACGAUGAAGGUUUUCGGAUUGUAAAGUGCUUUCAGCAGGGAAGAAAAAAUGACGGUACCUGCAGAAGAAGCGACGGCUAAAUACGUG